Non-coding RNA from Russula brevipes, 103 nucleotides. NCBI's taxonomy places the organism in Eukaryota, Fungi, Basidiomycota, Agaricomycetes, Russulales, Russulaceae. The record is from the annotation of a GenBank genome assembly.
GCCCGCCUAGCUCAAUCGGAUAGAGCGUCAGACUCUUAGGUGGGGUGGAGAUCACAUCCAAACUGUAAUCUGAAGGCUGCGAGUUCGACCCUCGCGGUGGGCU